CAAGAUUGUUUGGAGAAAACUUUGAUGGAAGAGAUUUCAAAGGGUAUCGGUCCCAGCAAAGAUACCUGAGAGCAUUGGGCAGAGAUUCAAGACCUUGAGAAAGGUCAAUCUUGUAGUACACCUCGCCAAAGGUAGCAUCAUGAAAACCUAUAAAUUUGGGAAAAUCCUCAGAACCAUGAAUCUUUAGCAAUCUCAGAUUAUACAUCUCUUUGAAGGUUGAACUGGAGAGUUGUAGCCUUAUAAUGCAAGACGUAAUGGUGCUCCUUACAUGUACUGUACCUACGAAAAUCAAUGUAACUGAGAAUUAUACGUUCUUGUUAAUUUGUAACAAAAAUGAAUAGAAAAUAUCUUACAAUUUAUGCUCGUCUUGCACUCACCUCUUCAUCAUUUCUUAAGUUGUCUCCACCACAAUACUUAUGAAUACGCAAUUGAACCAAUCAAUCGUAUCCAUAAAAUUGAGCUACCAGUCAGACACAUAACUUCUGCUCAAAAUCAUUUUUUUAAUUUUUUUGACAAACAACAAUACUUGGUAUUUCAUUAAUCAACCGAGAACAAUGCAUAGGUGCUAAUUGGGUACAAUCCUCUAGUGACCAAGCAAAUGAUCUAGAGGUUAAUUUACGCAAAUGAGACAAUAAUAGUAAACCCCAAAGCAGCUAUCACAUGUACGAGAACUUCCCACAACACCCAUACAAGCCUGUUACAGAAACAAUACAUAACAAAUUUGUAUAGAUGAUUGCAAACAGUUGCCGCCAAAUAGCGUGGCCGCAUAAAAUCAUCGCAGGAGCAAGACCACGUAACGUCAUCAUUGGAAGACGAGACCACAUAAUCCAAUGCUCAAGGCGAAAAUCAAAUACAACCGUCGUUACGGCGCAAAACGGACACCAUCCAAUGGAAGGAUAGGACCCUCAGGUAAGGACCACAGCAGUGCCAUCACACAAGACAGGCAGCUUGCGAAUUUGAUACGCCCAAAAUUUUUUUGGGUAAGUUUUAUUUUGGGUAAAAGACUGUUUACUACCUUAUGUUUCGUGGUUUUCAACAUUUAGUAUAUCAAGUUUUUUUUGUCUCAGAUUCAAACCUAAAGUGUAAAUUUUGGGACAAUCUCAUACAUCCUUUAGUCAAACUGUUAAAUCUGCCAUUAAUUGUGACGUGGCGCUCAUGUGGACAAUAACUGGGCGCCACGUAUCAUCCGCGUUUUUUUUUUCUUUCUUCUUCUUCUUCUUCAUCUUCUUCCUUCUUCUUCUUCUUCUUCUUCCUCCUCCGACUGCAACUUCUUUUUCCCCCUUCUCCUUCUUCCUUCUUCUUCCUUCUCCUUCUCCUUCUUCUUCUUGUUCCUCCGAAUCUAGGGAAGUUUUUUUUUUUUUUUUUUUCUUCUUCCUCCUUCCUCCUUCUUCCUUCUCCUUCCUUCUCCUUCUUCUUCUUCUGAAUCUGGGUUGCAGAUUCGUUUUUUUUUUCUUUUUUCUUUUUUCUUCUUCUUCCUCCUUCUUCUUCCUCCGACUUGUCUUUGUAUAUCUAAAUACAAACACAAAAAAGUGCAUAUUCACAUUUUUAGAGGUUUAAUAACAAAUCUCAUAAAUUACAAAUAUUAUUUUAUUUAAACUUUUUCUCCGGCAAAUAUUCAAACUUUUAAAUUAAACAAAUAUUUAUCAAACUUAUUAAAUUAAGCAAGUAUUCAAACUUCCAUGACUAUUUUAAGAAUAUAGAACCACAUUCAUUACUAACUAUACAUGAACGUUCACACAUAAUUAAAAGAUUUUAUUGCUACCCGUGAAAUUCACCAGUAUUUUUAUAACUUAUGAAUACGCAAUUGAACCAAUCAACCGUAUCCAUAAAAUUGAGCACAUAACUUCUGCUCAAAAUCAUUUUUUUUUAAUUUUUUUGACAAACAACAAUACUUGGUAUUUCAUUAAUCAACCGAGAACAAUACAUAGGUGCUAAUUGGGUACAAUCCUCUAGUGACCAAGCAAAUGAUCUAGAGAUUAAUUUACGCAAAUGAGACAACAAUAGUAAACCCCUAAGCAGCUAUCACAUGUACGAGAACUUCCCACAACACCUAUACAAGCCUGUUACAGAAACAAUACAUAACAAAUUUGUAUAGAUGAUUGCAAACAGUUGCCGCCAAAUAGCGUGGCCGCAUAAAAUCAUCGCAGGAGCAAGACCACGUAACGUCAUCAUUGGAAGACGAGACCACAUAAUCCAACGCUCAAGGCGAAAACCGAAUACAGCCGUCGUUGCGGCGCAAAACGGACACCAUCCAAUGGAAGGAUAGGACCCUCAGGUAAGGAGCACAGCAGUGCCAUCGCACAAGACAGGUGCGGCUACCACAUCCACAAAUCCAGCGGAGCAGCAACAAUAAACUGCAGGCGACAGAGGUUCCAGAAGCGACCACCGACAAGAAGUCCAAACAGAGCCACCGUCGGAUUUGCACACCCAAACCAAAGAAGCACCACCAAAGAGGCAUUGCGCUCUAAUCCGAGCUUGGAUUUCAACAAGUCCACAACACCAAAUCAGAGUGACGAAACGUGACUCCACACCAGCAGCUGCAAUUCCAAGCCCAGAUCACGCACCAUAUCCCGAGGCAGGGAAGAGGCCUUGAGCAAGGCAUAACCCGGAUAUGGGGGAGGCGUGAAGCUAAGUCAAAACGGUGGGAGAGAAGACCCAUCCGCAUCCGCAUCCGCAGACCCACCGCAACACCCAGAGUACAGACGCCAUAACAAAGAAAAUCUUGAGAUGGCAAGAUCAGGAUUUGAAGGUUGGGGGAAAGACACGGGAGGGGAGAGGAAGGUGGUUGGGGAAGAUGGCUUAAAGAAACAGAGGACAUUUCGAAAUUAGUUUCUCGGCAUCUUGAGCAUACAACAGGCAGAUUCCACACGUUUUGAAAUUAGUUUUGUGACUUCUGUCACGAUGGUCUAGGAAGUGGAAGUCAAAAGAGGCCUUGGUGACGAGUUUGUAAAAAGAAUUGGAGCAUCUGAAAUUCUCUAUCUCUUCAAUUGCAAAAGCACCAUACCAGACAAACACGUGACUGGACCUAGAAAUGUCGUACCCUCUUUCGUUAAACGGAACAUAGUAAGGGUAACUGAUUUCACGGCUUUCACCAUUAUCAGUUCUAAAAUUGCACUUGCACCCAAACUUCACAUUUGCAACACCAAAAUUUUGAUCGACAACAAGAGAUAGAGCGAAACCCAAGAAAUUCGUACCACACCAAUCUGGAGGAAGCUUGAUGGUUAACGAAGAUCCCUCACUUUGAUGGCUGAACCAAUUUGGAAGUUCAUUUCCCUCGUACACAAUGCUAACUGAAGUCCCACUAGAGAUACCCUGAGAUCGUGAUGCACAUCAAAAUCAUUAAACUCGUGAAUAAAAUGGCAGAAGUGAAAUAGACAGUGUGUGCGCGUGUGAGAGAGAAAGAGAGACCUUAUAACGUUCUACUUCCUUGAAGUUGGAUGGCGCAGUUGCAACUUGCAUAAUUCUUAGGUGUGCGUCACUGACUAUGUUGCUCAGUGCCUUAUCAUCCAGUUUCGGGCAUUUAGCAAAAUGAUAACUCCCUCGAAACAAAUCAUAUUUAUCCCAGGCUUGUGUGAGUGAAGUCCUUGAUCUUGAAACUGUCUGCAGUGACUCGCAGCCAUUUGCUUCAAGAUACCGCAGCACUGGGAGCUCUGGUAAAGAUCGAAGGCUCGUGCAAUUGUUUAAGCGCAGGUGAGACAACUGAGAAGCUUGUAUGACGCUUGAAGGUAGGCUCUCAAUAUUGGUUCCUCCCAGAUCUAAAUCUCGUAACCAGGGUAAGAACACGAGGUGGUUGGGAAUUUCACAGAAACAUAGCCUUAUUACUUCCAAAGAGCACAAACUGAGUGAGAGAUUUAAAUUUUUGAGACUCAAGCAACCAAUAAGGCUCAACGUUUUAAGAUGUUUUAAACUGUUGAUGCUGUCUGGGACAAGCUGAAGGUUUUCGCACCGGUCAAGAAUUAAACUUUGAAGCCCAAUUAGCAUUCCUAUCGAUGAAUGUAGCUCUUCAACCUCUGUUCCUUUUAAACUAAGAAAUUUCAGAUGUUCCAUAGGCUCCAAAAUUUCAGGGAAGUAUUUAAAUUCAAGGCAAUCAGUGAGAUCAAGUCUCUCAAGAGAUUUUAACUUACAAAUGCUCUCUGGUAGACUCACCAGCCUACUGCAAUAACUCAGUUUGAGUGUAGUGAGACCAAGGAGACACUGAAUUGACGAUGCGGGCAAUUCCUCUAUUGCGGUGAAAGAUAAAUCUAAGAAUUCAAUGUUGUCGGGCAUCUGAGGAAAGAAUUUCAGAUUUUCACAGUGUCCCAGAUGAAGAUAAGUAAGCUUGUCAAAACCUUUGAAAUAUGAAGGAAUCCGUUCCAAUCUUAUGCAACCAGAAAGAUUUAUAUGCUCAAUUUUUGAACUCCGAGAGAGAUCUGGAACUUCAGCCAGAUGUGUGCAAUAGCUAAGAUCGAUCACUUUCAACUUUCCAAGAUUCUGUAACAAAUUAAAAGGAAAUUUAUAAACUUGGCCGAAAUAAAUUUCCACAUCCACCACAUUUCAUACAAGUUUAACUCAAGUAAAGCAUGUGUACCUGGUUCUUAUUCCAAAGUGGCGCCUCAAGUCUGCUAUAGGGCAUUCGAAGCUCAACAAGAUUGUUUGGAGAAAAUUUUGAUGGAAGAGAUUUCAAAGGGUAUCGGUCCCAGUAAAGAUACCAGAGAGCAUUGGGCAGAGACUCAAGACCUUCAGAAAGGUCAAUCUUGUAGUACACCUCGCCAAAGAUAGCAUCAUGAAAACCUAUAAAUUUGGGAAAAUCCUCAGAACCAUAGAUCUUGAGAAUUCUUAGACUACGCAUCUCUUGGAAGGAUGAUCCCGAAAGUUGUAGCCUUGUAAGACUAGACGUGUCAACGUAUAUGCAUUUAACCUUUGC
This 4903-nucleotide long non-coding RNA is filed under the name Malus domestica (apple). RNAcentral's name for it is "long non-coding RNA (MDOM_LNC009386)". Lineage: Eukaryota; Viridiplantae; Streptophyta; Magnoliopsida; Rosales; Rosaceae. The record is from RNAcentral.